AACAAGGUUUCCGUAGGUGAACCUGCGGAAGGAUCAUUGUUGAGAUCUCAUAAUAAUUGUUCGAGUUAAUCCAGAGGAUCAGUUUACUUUGGUCACCCAUGGGCGCUUGCUAUUGCGGUGACCUAGAUUUGCCACGGAGCCUCCUUGGGAGCUUUCCUGCCGGCGAUCUAAACCUUGUCCGGCGCAGUUUUGCGCCAAGUCAWAUGACGCARAAUUGGUGAAGGGCAUAGCCCUUCGUGAAUUCAAGGAGGGGGCGGACUCCCCCUCUCAGAUUAUUUUUUUUGAACAACUCUCAGCAACGGAUAUCUCGGCUCUUGCAUCGAUGAAGAACGCAGCGAAAUGCGAUAAGUGGUGUGAAUUGCAGAAUCCCGUGAACCAUCGAGUAUUUGAACGCAAGUUGCGCCCAAGGCCAUCAGGCCAAGGGCACGCCUGCCUGGGCAUUGCGAGUCAUAUCUCUCCCUUAAUGAGGCUGUCCGUGCAUACUGUUCAGCCGGUGCGGAUGAGUGUUUGGCCCCUCGUUCUUUGGUGMGGGGGGUCUAAGAGCUGCAUGGGCUUUUUGAUGGUCCUAAAUUCGGCAAGAGGUGGACGAAUCAUGCAACAACAAAACUGUUGUGCGAAUGCUCCAUGUUGUCGUAUUAGAUGGGCCAUCAUAAUCUAAAGACCCUUAUGAACCACAUUGCAUCAACCCAUGAUCCGUUGAUGGCCAUUUGGUUGCGACCCCAGGUCAGGUGAGGCAAC
This 738-nucleotide ribosomal RNA is filed under the name Paphiopedilum vietnamense. RNAcentral's name for it is "eukaryotic LSU rRNA". Lineage: Eukaryota; Viridiplantae; Streptophyta; Magnoliopsida; Asparagales; Orchidaceae. The record is from RNAcentral.